RNAcentral lists this long non-coding RNA (323 nucleotides) under Homo sapiens (human). RNAcentral's name for it is "novel transcript". The record is from RNAcentral. Lineage: Eukaryota; Metazoa; Chordata; Mammalia; Primates; Hominidae.
UUGGUUUCCCAGGGGGCAGUGCUGAGCUCUUUGCCAGUGGGAAAUGGGAUGCUGGUGAUUUCCAGUAGGUGACCUCACAGUGACUCAAGCUACCACUUACUGUUGAUUGUGACGAAAUGCCAGCUGAGGCACAUGCCUUGGGAGCUAAGUGGUUGCUGCCCUUGACCACUGUGAAGACUGGUGUGGGAAGGGUCGUUUUGGAUGCACUUGAGCAGGGGUCCCCAACCCCUGAGCCAUGGAGCCGCAAGGAGCCACACAGCAGGAGGUGGGAACAUCCAGUUGCAGGAAAACAAGCUUAACACGCCCACUGAUUCUACAUUAUG